Molecule: transfer RNA, 69 nt
Filed under: marine eukaryotic metagenome
Rfam family: tRNA
About the family: Transfer RNA (tRNA) molecules are approximately 80 nucleotides in length. Their secondary structure includes four short double-helical elements and three loops (D, anti-codon, and T loops). Further hydrogen bonds mediate the characteristic L-shaped molecular structure. tRNAs have two regions of fundamental functional importance: the anti-codon, which is responsible for specific mRNA codon recognition, and the 3' end, to which the tRNAs corresponding amino acid is attached (by aminoacyl-tRNA synthetases). tRNAs cope with the degeneracy of the genetic code in two manners: having more than one tRNA (with a specific anti-codon) for a particular amino acid; and 'wobble' base-pairing, i.e. permitting non-standard base-pairing at the 3rd anti-codon position.
Source: RNAcentral
GCGACGUAGCCAAGUGGUAAGGCAGUGGUCUGCAAAACCAUUAUUCACCGGUUCAAAUCCGGUCGUCGC